CGUAAGCAACCUGCCCCCAAGACCGGGACAACAUUCCGAAAGGAGUGCUAAUACCGGAUGUGCCCAUCGGGUGACAUCACCUGAUGAGUAAAUCAAGCAAUUGGCUUAGGGAGGGGCUUGCGGCCUAUCAGCUAGAUGGUGGGGUAACGGCCUACCAUGGCGACGACGGGUAGCUGGUCUGAGAGGAUGGUCAGCCGGAUUGGGACUGAGAUACGGCCCAG
Molecule: ribosomal RNA, 221 nt
Filed under: uncultured bacterium
Lineage: Bacteria
Description: partial 16S ribosomal RNA
Rfam family: Bacterial small subunit ribosomal RNA
Source: RNAcentral